UACAGAGGGUGCAAGCGUUAAUCGGAAUUACUGGGCGUAAAGCGUGCGUAGACGGUUACAUAAGUCGGGUGUGAAAGCCCCGGGCUCAACCUGGGAAUUGCAUUCGAGACUGCGUAGCUAGGGUGCGGAAGAGGGAAGCGGAAUUUCCGGUGUAGCGGUGAAAUGCGUAGAUAUCGUAAGGAAGACCAGUGGCGAAGGCGGGUCUCUGGACAGUUCCUGACACUGAGACACGAAGGCCAGGGGAGCAAACGGG
This 253-nucleotide ribosomal RNA is filed under the name uncultured bacterium. Its description in RNAcentral is "partial 16S ribosomal RNA". It matches the Rfam family "Bacterial small subunit ribosomal RNA", at positions 524 to 776 of the family's 1533-position model. The record is from RNAcentral.